AUUGAACGCUGGCGGCGUGCUUAACACAUGCAAGUCGUGCGGUAACAGGCGUAGCAAUACGUGCUGACGAGCGGCGAACGGGUGCGUAAUACAUGGGAAUCUGCCCUUUAGUGGGGAAUAACCCGGCGAAAGCCGGGCUAAUGCCGCAUAAGAUCUUCGGAUGAAAGCGGGGGAUCGUAAGACCUCGCGCUGAUGGAUGAGCCCAUGUCGGAUUAGCUAGNGGUGAGGUAACGGCUCACCAAGGCGACGAUCCGUAGCUGGUCUGAGAGGACGGCCAGCCACACUGGGACUGAGACACGGCCCAGAC
RNAcentral lists this ribosomal RNA (307 nucleotides) under uncultured bacterium. RNAcentral describes it as "bacterial SSU rRNA". It matches the Rfam family "Bacterial small subunit ribosomal RNA", at positions 30 to 336 of the family's 1533-position model. The record is from RNAcentral.